GUCAGAUCUAAAAAUAGACGUGACCUACUUUAUAAGUGACUGCACGCAUUUGACAGCUCGACUAUAGCCAAGGAAUACAGAUGGUUGCAAUAAUGGAUAUCUCCCCAACCACUUCAAUGCUGUUGGUUUUCGUCAUCACAUUCCUCGUGGUUUGGCUGUGGAGAAGGAAAGAAAAGCCGAGAGCAAACCUUCCACCCAACAAGUGGUUCCCCUUCAGUGAGUUCUUAGGUCUGUUUGCGGAGCUGGAUGAAUUUUUGAAGAACGUGCCCAAGAGCAAACCUCUCACAUAUUUCUGCAACAGAUUUACAGGAGAUAGCGUCUUCAUUUUUCACAACCACGAGCUCAUCCACGAAGCUUUCGUCAAGAAAGGGAAUUCAUUUUUGGGAAGACCAGGACCUUAUUUAGGGAAGGAAUGGGCUACACUGAACGGUUAGUUAAA
This 439-nucleotide long non-coding RNA is filed under the name Lingula anatina. RNAcentral's name for it is "uncharacterized LOC106162629, transcript variant X2". The record is from RNAcentral. Lineage: Eukaryota; Metazoa; Brachiopoda; Lingulata; Lingulida; Lingulidae.